GGAUGGAUGGCCGAGAGGUCGAAGGCGGCGGUCUUGAAAACCGUUGAGGUGCAAGUCUCCGGGGGUUCGAAUCCCUCUCCAUCCG
RNAcentral lists this transfer RNA (85 nucleotides) under bacterium. RNAcentral's name for it is "tRNA-Ser". It matches the Rfam family "tRNA". Rfam says of the family: Transfer RNA (tRNA) molecules are approximately 80 nucleotides in length. Their secondary structure includes four short double-helical elements and three loops (D, anti-codon, and T loops). Further hydrogen bonds mediate the characteristic L-shaped molecular structure. tRNAs have two regions of fundamental functional importance: the anti-codon, which is responsible for specific mRNA codon recognition, and the 3' end, to which the tRNAs corresponding amino acid is attached (by aminoacyl-tRNA synthetases). tRNAs cope with the degeneracy of the genetic code in two manners: having more than one tRNA (with a specific anti-codon) for a particular amino acid; and 'wobble' base-pairing, i.e. permitting non-standard base-pairing at the 3rd anti-codon position. The record is from RNAcentral. RNAcentral also lists the same sequence under 1 other name.